AACGAACGCUGGCGGCAUGCCUAACACAUGCAAGUCGAAUGAGACCUUCGGGUCUAGUGGCGCACGGGUGCGUAACGCGUGGGAACCUGCCCUUAGGUUCGGAAUAACUCCCCGAAAGGGGUGCUAAUACCGGAUAAUGUCUUCGGACCAAAGAUUUAUCGCCUUUGGAUGGGCCCGCGUUGGAUUAGCUAGUUGGUAGGGUAAAAGCCUACCAAGGCGACGAUCCAUAGCUGGUCUGAGGGGAUGAUCAGCCACACUGGGACUGAGACACGGCCCAGACUCCUACGGGAGGCAGCAGUGGGGAAUAUUGGACAAUGGGCGAAAGCCUGAUCCAGCAAUGCCGCGUGAGUGAUGAAGGCCUUAGGGUUGUAAAGCUCUUUUACCCGGGAUGAUAAUGACAGUACCGGGAGAAUAAGCUCCGGCUAACUCCGUG
RNAcentral lists this ribosomal RNA (433 nucleotides) under uncultured bacterium. RNAcentral describes it as "partial 16S ribosomal RNA". It matches the Rfam family "Bacterial small subunit ribosomal RNA", at positions 29 to 507 of the family's 1533-position model. The record is from RNAcentral.